UUCGGUGGGGAUUAGUGGCGAACGGGUGAGUAACACGUGGGCAAUCUGCCCUUGCACUACAGGGACAAGCCCUGGAAACGGGGUCUAAUACCGGAUAUUGACCUUCACGGGCAUCUGUGAGGUUCGAAAGCUCCGGCGGUGCAGGAUGAGCCCGCGGCCUAUCAGCUUGUUGGUGAGGUAAUGGCUCACCAAGGCGACGACGGGUAGCCGGCCUGAGAGGGCGACCGGCCACACUGGGACUGAGACACGGCCCAGACUCCUACGGGAGGCAGCAGUGGGGAAUAUUGCACAAUGGGCGAAAGCAUGAUGCAGCGACGCCGCGUGAGGGACGACGGCCUUCGGGUUGUAAACCUCUUUCAGCAGGGAAGAAGCGAAAGUGACGGUACCUGCAGAAGAAGCGCCGGCUAACUACGUGCCAGCAGCCGCGGUAAUACGUAGGGCGCAAGCGUUGUCCGGAAUUAUUGGGCGUAAAGAGCUCGUAGGCGGCUUGUCACGUCGGUUGUGAAAGCCCGGGGCUUAACCCCGGGUCUGCAGUCGAUACGGGCAGGCUAGAGUUCGGUAGGGGAGAUCGGAAUUCCUGGUGUAGCGGUGAAAUGCGCAGAUAUCAGGAGGAACACCGGUGGCGAAGGCGGAUCUCUGGGCCGAUACUGACGCUGAGGAGCGAAAGCGUGGGGAGCGAACAGGAUUAGAUACCCUGGUAGUCCACGCCGUAAAC
Molecule: ribosomal RNA, 715 nt
Filed under: Streptomyces carnosus
Lineage: Bacteria; Bacillati; Actinomycetota; Actinomycetes; Kitasatosporales; Streptomycetaceae
Description: bacterial SSU rRNA
Rfam family: Bacterial small subunit ribosomal RNA
Source: RNAcentral